GAUGAACGCUAGCUACAGGCUUAACACAUGCAAGUCGAGGGGUAACGAGAGGAAAGCUUGCUUUCCUUGUCGACGACCGGCGCACGGGUGAGUAACGCGUAUCCAACCUGCCCCCAACUAGGGAAUAACCUUGCGAAAGUAAGACUAAUACCCUAUAAUUUCCUCAGAUGUCAUCUGACGAGGAAUAAAGAUUUAUCGGUUGUGGAUGGGGAUGCGUCUGAUUAGCUUGUUGGCGGGGUAACGGCCCACCAAGGAAACGAUCAGUAGGGGGUCUGAGAGGAAGGUCCCCCACAUUGGAACUGAGACACGGUCCAAACUCCUACGGGAGGCAGCAGUGAGGAAUAUUGGUCAAUGGGCGGAAGCCUGAACCAGCCAAGUAGCGUGCAGGAUGACGGCCCUAUGGGUUGUAAACUGCUUUUAUACAGGAAUAAAGUUAGCCACGUGUGGUUAUUUGUAGGUACUGUAUGAAUAAGGACCGGCUAAUUCCGUGCCAGCCGCCGCAGUAA
This 506-nucleotide ribosomal RNA is filed under the name uncultured bacterium. RNAcentral's name for it is "partial 16S ribosomal RNA". It matches the Rfam family "Bacterial small subunit ribosomal RNA", at positions 28 to 523 of the family's 1533-position model. The record is from RNAcentral.